ACGAACGCUGGCGGCAUGCCUAACACCUGCAAGUCGAACGAGACCUUCGGGUCUAGUGGCGCACGGGUGCGUAACGCGUGGGAACCUGCCCUUAGGUUCGGAAUAACUCCCCGAAAGGGGUGCUAAUACCGGAUAAUGUCUUCGGACCAAAGAUUUAUCGCCUUUGGAUGGGCCCGCGUUGGAUUAGCUAGUUGGUAGGGUAAAAGCCUACCAAGGCGAUGAUCCAUAGCUGGUCUGAGAGGAUGAUCAGCCACACUGGGACUGAGACACGGCCCAGACUCCUACGGGAGGCAGCAGUGGGGAAUAUUGGACAAUGGGCGAAAGCCUGAUCCAGCAAUGCCGCGUGAGUGAUGAAGGCCUUAGGGUUGUAAAGCUCUUUUACCCGGGAUGAUAAUGACAGUACCGGGAGAAUAAGCUCCGGCUAACUCCGUG
RNAcentral lists this ribosomal RNA (432 nucleotides) under uncultured bacterium. RNAcentral's name for it is "partial 16S ribosomal RNA". It matches the Rfam family "Bacterial small subunit ribosomal RNA", at positions 29 to 507 of the family's 1533-position model. The record is from RNAcentral.